This 77-nucleotide transfer RNA is filed under the name candidate division WWE3 bacterium. Its description in RNAcentral is "tRNA-Val". It matches the Rfam family "tRNA". From Rfam's summary of the family: Transfer RNA (tRNA) molecules are approximately 80 nucleotides in length. Their secondary structure includes four short double-helical elements and three loops (D, anti-codon, and T loops). The record is from RNAcentral. Lineage: Bacteria; candidate division WWE3.
GGGCGAUUAGCUCAGCUGGUUAGAGCGCUUGGUUUACAUCCAAGAGGUCAUAGGUUCGAUCCCUAUAUCGCCCACCA